RNAcentral lists this unclassified non-coding RNA (330 nucleotides) under uncultured Pseudoalteromonas sp. RNAcentral describes it as "partial 16S-23S ribosomal RNA intergenic spacer". The record is from RNAcentral. Lineage: Bacteria; Pseudomonadati; Pseudomonadota; Gammaproteobacteria; Alteromonadales; Pseudoalteromonadaceae.
CCUCCUUAUACGAUUUAGAACUUAUUUGUUCGUAGUGUCCACACAGAUGAUUGUUAGUUAGUUUUACCCUUUGGGUUUAACUGAUUAAUAUGCUCUUUAAAAAUUUGGAAAAGCUGAUAAUAAAAUUCGUAUAAAUAACACUGUUAUUUGUACAGAGUCUUCAAAAGUAAAAAAGAAUGAUAGCAGUAUCAUUCAGUGCCAAUUUAAUCAUUUAUGAUUAAUUGGUAUCUACUUUAGUAUUCAAUAUUAACUUCUGGCGAAGUUAAACUGUCACAUAACAAAGACCCGUUUGGGUUGUAUGGUUAAGUGACUAAGCGUACACGGUGGAUG